AGCGUUGUGCGGAUUUAUUGGGCGUAAAGAGCGUGUAGGCGGCCAGGUAGGUCUGCUGUGAAAACUCGAGGCUUAACCUCGAGCUGUCGGCGGAAACCAUCUGGCUAGAGUCCGGAAGAGGAGAAUGGAAUUCCCGGUGUAGCGGUGAAAUGCGCAGAUAUCGGGAAGAACACCCGUGGCGAAGGCGGUUCUCUGGGACGGUACUGACGCUGAGACGCGAAAGCGUGGGGAGCGAACAGG
This 240-nucleotide ribosomal RNA is filed under the name uncultured bacterium. RNAcentral's name for it is "partial 16S ribosomal RNA". It matches the Rfam family "Bacterial small subunit ribosomal RNA", at positions 537 to 776 of the family's 1533-position model. The record is from RNAcentral.